GUUUACAAACAAUGCAUCCCAUUUUUGUGAUCGAAAAAAGAGAAACAAAAGCCGGAGCCAGCGACAUCGCUCGAAUUUAUUCAAUCUUGGCGACAAGACUAAGUGUUUGCAGAACCAUAGGAGGAUCGUUGGAAGAGACGAAGACAAGGUAAUGGCUUAAACACACGAAAUGUUUUUAGGAAGACGUGCUGGCCAAACUAUUGCAAGUUUGACUGUUCAGCAUAAUGUUAGAUCAACAAACUCUUCACCUAUGCACGAUCAUCAGCCCCAGCCAGGUCCUGGCCUGUCAUUUGUGUCACAAGGAAGUACCACACCUGGUCAUGUGUCAGGAAUUGGAGAGAUAACAUCUUACUUAGAAGUAAAUUGAAGGCAGCCAACAAUUG
Dreissena polymorpha is the source of this 383-nucleotide long non-coding RNA. RefSeq lists it as uncharacterized. Lineage: Eukaryota; Metazoa; Mollusca; Bivalvia; Myida; Dreissenidae. The transcript is spliced from 3 exons. The record is from RefSeq and is a predicted model, not a curated record.